GAUGAACGCUGGCGGCGUGCCUAAUACAUGCAAGUCGAGCGAACGGAUGAGAAGCUUGCUUCUCUGAUGUUAGCGGCGGACGGGUGAGCAACACGUGGAUAACCUACCUAUAAGACUGGGAUAACUUCGGGAAACCGGAGCUAAUACCGGAUAAUAUUUUGAACCGCAUGGUUCAAAAGUGAAAGACGGUCUUGCUGUCACUUAUAGAUGGAUCCGCGCUGCAUUAGCUAGUUGGUAAGGUAACGGCUUACCAAGGCAACGAUGCAUAGCCGACCUGAGAGGGUGAUCGGCCACUGGAACUGAGACACGGUCCAGACUCCUACGGGAGGCAGCAGUAGGGAAUCUUCCGCAAUGGGCGAAAGCCUGACGGAGCAACGCCGCGUGAGUGAUGAAGGUCUUCGGAUCGUAAAACUCUGUUAUUAGGGAAGAACAUAUGUGUAAGUAACUGUGCACAUCUUGACGGUACCUAAUCAGAAAGCCACGGCUAACUACGUG
RNAcentral lists this ribosomal RNA (495 nucleotides) under uncultured bacterium. Its description in RNAcentral is "partial 16S ribosomal RNA". It matches the Rfam family "Bacterial small subunit ribosomal RNA", at positions 28 to 507 of the family's 1533-position model. The record is from RNAcentral.